CCUACGGGAGGCUGCAGUGGGGAAUAUUGGACAAUGGGCGAAAGCCUGAUCCAGCCAUGCCGCGUGUGUGAAGAAGGCUCUAGGGUUGUAAAGCACUUUAAGCAGGGAAGAUAGUGCGUUGGAUUAAUACUCCUACGUAUGGACGGUACCUGCAGAAUAAGCACCGGCUAACUCCGUGCCAGCAGCCGCGGUAAUACGGAGGGUGCAAGCGUUAAUCGGAUUUACUGGGCGUAAAGCGUGCGUAGGUGGUUUGUUAAGUCAGUUGUGAAAUCCCCGGGCUCAACCUUGGAAUUGCAUCUGAUACUGGCAGACUAGAGAUCGGUAGAGGUUAGUGGAAUUCCAGGUGUAGCGGUGAAAUGCGUAGAUAUCUGGAGGAACAUCGAUGGCGAAGGCGACUCCCUGGCCAAAGACUGACGCUCAUGUGCGAAAGUGUGGGUAGCGAACAGGAUUAGAUACCCUGG
RNAcentral lists this ribosomal RNA (461 nucleotides) under Morganella morganii. RNAcentral describes it as "bacterial SSU rRNA". It matches the Rfam family "Bacterial small subunit ribosomal RNA", at positions 338 to 790 of the family's 1533-position model. The record is from RNAcentral. Lineage: Bacteria; Pseudomonadati; Pseudomonadota; Gammaproteobacteria; Enterobacterales; Morganellaceae.